This 219-nucleotide long non-coding RNA is filed under the name Mytilus galloprovincialis (Mediterranean mussel). The record is from RNAcentral. Lineage: Eukaryota; Metazoa; Mollusca; Bivalvia; Mytilida; Mytilidae.
UGUCGCUAAAAAUUAUUAUUGUUUGUAUUGAUUAACUUUAUUUCAAUGGUUCUUUAAAUUUUUUCUUUUUUUUUCUAUUUUUAAAGGAUACUUUCAUACGUAUUUAGUCCAAUUGUGUUGGGAUAGUUUCCAUGGCAACCAAGGGUCAAAAGGAAAGAAUAAAUAUAUGAAACUCAUUUUCAUACAACACCUUUUAUACAAACAAAAUAUAAAGGUAUU